This 67-nucleotide transfer RNA is filed under the name uncultured Saccharofermentans sp. It matches the Rfam family "tRNA". From Rfam's summary of the family: Transfer RNA (tRNA) molecules are approximately 80 nucleotides in length. Their secondary structure includes four short double-helical elements and three loops (D, anti-codon, and T loops). Further hydrogen bonds mediate the characteristic L-shaped molecular structure. tRNAs have two regions of fundamental functional importance: the anti-codon, which is responsible for specific mRNA codon recognition, and the 3' end, to which the tRNAs corresponding amino acid is attached (by aminoacyl-tRNA synthetases). tRNAs cope with the degeneracy of the genetic code in two manners: having more than one tRNA (with a specific anti-codon) for a particular amino acid; and 'wobble' base-pairing, i.e. permitting non-standard base-pairing at the 3rd anti-codon position. The record is from RNAcentral. Lineage: Bacteria; Bacillati; Bacillota; Clostridia; Eubacteriales; Oscillospiraceae.
GGGAGUGGCUCAAUGGUAGAGCAGUGGUCUCCAAAACCACCGGUUGCGAGUUCGAAUCUUGUCUCCC